AAUAAGUGCAGUUUUAGCACUAUUCACGUCCAACAUACGACCGUUCGUCUUAUUUGAAAAAAAAAAUAUGAUUUGUAUUUUUAUUGUUACUAGAUAAUAAAAUAUGAAUAGUACUUUACGUGUGACUAAUUUUUUUAAUAUUUUUCAUAAAUUUUUCAAAUAAGACGGAUGGUCAACACGCUAAACACGGAUAUCUAUAACUGCACUUAUU
Molecule: non-coding RNA, 211 nt
Organism: Oryza barthii
Lineage: Eukaryota; Viridiplantae; Streptophyta; Magnoliopsida; Poales; Poaceae
Source: Rfam